GCACCUGAUGAUGGGCGUGCGGCUGAUUAGGUAGUUGGCGGGGUAACGGCCCACCAAGCCAGCGAUCAGUAGCUGAUGUGAGAGCAUGAUCAGCCACACGGGCACUGAGACACGGGCCCG
This 120-nucleotide ribosomal RNA is filed under the name uncultured bacterium. Its description in RNAcentral is "partial 16S ribosomal RNA". It matches the Rfam family "Bacterial small subunit ribosomal RNA", at positions 215 to 334 of the family's 1533-position model. The record is from RNAcentral.